This 253-nucleotide ribosomal RNA is filed under the name uncultured bacterium. RNAcentral describes it as "partial 16S ribosomal RNA". It matches the Rfam family "Bacterial small subunit ribosomal RNA", at positions 524 to 776 of the family's 1533-position model. The record is from RNAcentral.
AACGUAGGGGGCGAGCGUUGCCCGGAUUCACUGGGCGUAAAGCGGGUGUAGGCGGUCUCUUAAGUCGGAUGCGAAAUCCUGCGGCCUAACCGCGGAACUGCAUCCGAUACUGGGAGACUUGAGGACGGUAGAGGUCGGUGGAAUUCCCGGUGUACCGGUGAAAUGGACAGAUAUCGGGAGGAACACCAGUGGCGAAGGCGGCCGACUGGGCCGAUCCUGACGCUGAGACCCGAAAGCCAGGGUAGCGAACCGG